CAAGUGAUGAUCCACAUCCUGACACCUCUUGUCUGACGCCACUUGAGACUCACAACCCUCUGCCUGACG
This 69-nucleotide small nucleolar RNA is filed under the name Euglena gracilis. Its description in RNAcentral is "Eg-m181 box C/D methylation-guide". The record is from RNAcentral. Lineage: Eukaryota; Euglenozoa; Euglenophyceae; Euglenales; Euglenaceae.